RNAcentral lists this ribosomal RNA (482 nucleotides) under uncultured bacterium. RNAcentral's name for it is "partial 16S ribosomal RNA". It matches the Rfam family "Bacterial small subunit ribosomal RNA", at positions 30 to 507 of the family's 1533-position model. The record is from RNAcentral.
AUUGAACGCUGGCGGCAUGCCUUACACAUGCAAGUCGAACGGUAACAGGUCUUCGGAUGCUGACGAGUGGCGAACGGGUGAGUAAUACAUCGGAACGUGCCCGAUCGUGGGGGAUAACGAAGCGAAAGCUUUGCUAAUACCGCAUACGAUCUACGGAUGAAAGCGGGGGAUCUUCGGACCUCGCGCGGACGGAGCGGCCGAUGGCAGAUUAGGUAGUUGGUGGGAUAAAAGCUUACCAAGCCGACGAUCUGUAGCUGGUCUGAGAGGAUGAUCAGCCACACUGGGACUGAGACACGGCCCAGACUCCUACGGGAGGCAGCAGUGGGGAAUUUUGGACAAUGGGCGAAAGCCUGAUCCAGCCAUGCCGCGUGCAGGAUGAAGGCCUUCGGGUUGUAAACUGCUUUUGUACGGAACGAAAAGCCUCUUUCUAAUAAAGAGGGGUCAUGACGGUACCGUAAGAAUAAGCACCGGCUAACUACGUG